RNAcentral lists this ribosomal RNA (429 nucleotides) under Bacteroidota bacterium. Its description in RNAcentral is "Bacteroidetes bacterium partial 16S ribosomal RNA". It matches the Rfam family "Bacterial small subunit ribosomal RNA", at positions 355 to 776 of the family's 1533-position model. The record is from RNAcentral. Lineage: Bacteria; Pseudomonadati; Bacteroidota.
UAGGGAAUCUUCCGCAAUGGACGCAAGUCUGACGGAGCAACGCCGCGCGAGUGAAGAAGGAUUUCGGUUCGUAAAACUCUGUUGUUAGAGAAGAACAGCGCAUAGAGUAACUGUUAUGCGUGUGACGGUAUCUAACCAGAAAGCCACGGCUAACUACGUGCCAGCAGCCGCGGUAAUACGUAGGUGGCAAGCGUUGUCCGGAUUUAUUGGGCGUAAAGCGAGCGCAGGCGGUCAAUUAAGUCUGAUGUGAAAGCCCCCGGCUCAACCGGGGAGGGUCAUUGGAAACUGGUUGACUUGAGUGCAGAAGAGGAGAGUGGAAUUCCAUGUGUAGCGGUGAAAUGCAUAGAUAUAUGGAGGAACACCAGUGGCGAAGGCGACUCUCUGGUCUGUAACUGACGCUGAGGCUCGAAAGCGUGGGUAGCAAACAGG